AGUUGUGUCCCUGAUUCUCCUUUU
RNAcentral lists this microRNA (24 nucleotides) under Callorhinchus milii (elephant shark). RNAcentral's name for it is "eshark_mir-467_3". Lineage: Eukaryota; Metazoa; Chordata; Chondrichthyes; Chimaeriformes; Callorhinchidae. The record is from RNAcentral.